RNAcentral lists this unclassified non-coding RNA (157 nucleotides) under soil metagenome. Its description in RNAcentral is "partial internal transcribed spacer 1". The record is from RNAcentral.
CAAGAACGAGGCCCCUCCCCCCGGUCCCUCUCCUACCCUUGCCUAUCGUCACCUUUUUGUUGCUUCCUCGGCGGUGCUGACGGCCCGCCGCCAGGGACGUUGAUAACAAAUCCCUUUGCAACAAGCAUAUCGAAUCUCUGAUAAAACCUGAAUCGUA